AACGUAGGUGGCAAGCGUUAUCCGGAUUCACUGGGCGUAAAGCGCGUGCAGGUGGCUUCGUAAGUUGGACGUUAAAUCUCCCGGCCUAACCGGGAGGAGUCGUUCAAUACUGCGGGGCUGGAGGGCAGAAGAGGGGGGUGGAAUUGCUGGUGUAGUGGUGAAAUGCGUAGAUAUCAGCAGGAACACCUGUGGCGAAAGCGGCCCCCUGGUCUGCUCCUGACACUCAGACGCGAAAGCUAGGGGAGUGAAC
This 250-nucleotide ribosomal RNA is filed under the name uncultured bacterium. Its description in RNAcentral is "partial 16S ribosomal RNA". It matches the Rfam family "Bacterial small subunit ribosomal RNA", at positions 524 to 773 of the family's 1533-position model. The record is from RNAcentral.